UCAGAAAAAGUGGUUAAUAGGAAGGAUCAGAAGAAGAGGAAAAUAGAUUUCCUACUGGAGUGAAAAAAACAUCCUGGAACAAUAUUCUGCAACAUUGAACUUUACAAUGACAUUUGGUGGCAUAUGAAUUUGAAUUUGGUAGAAACACAUCAAUUAACAAAAGAAACCUUGAUGCAAUUAAUAAAUAACAACAAGACCGGCCUACUAAGAGCAGAUGCCCUGUCAAGAGAAUGGAAUAUAAAAAGACCAGCAAAAUCUUUCAGAAACCUGACAUCAUGGGACACUUGCACUAAAGCACGAUUUGCAGCUUUUCUUAAAC
This is a non-coding RNA of Pelobates cultripes (western spadefoot toad), 319 nucleotides long. Lineage: Eukaryota; Metazoa; Chordata; Amphibia; Anura; Pelobatidae. The record is from the annotation of a GenBank genome assembly.